This 505-nucleotide ribosomal RNA is filed under the name uncultured bacterium. RNAcentral describes it as "bacterial SSU rRNA". It matches the Rfam family "Bacterial small subunit ribosomal RNA", at positions 28 to 500 of the family's 1533-position model. The record is from RNAcentral.
GACGAACGCUGGCGGCGUGCUUAACACAUGCAAGUCGAACGGAGAUUAUUAAUGAAGCUUGCGAUUUAAUAAUCCUAGUGGCGGACGGGUGAGUAACGCGUGGGCAACCUACCCAUAAGCGGGGGAUAACAGUUGGAAACGACUGCUAAUACCGCAUAAGCUAUAGAGGUCGCAUGACCUAAAUAGUAAAGGUGGCAUUUAAAGAUGCUAUCACUUAUGGAUGGGCCCGCGUCUGAUUAGCUAGUUGGUGGGGUAGUGGCCUACCAAGGCAACGAUCAGUAGCCGGCCUGAGAGGGUGGACGGCCACACUGGGACUGAGACACGGCCCAGACUCCUACGGGAGGCAGCAGUGGGGAAUAUUGCGCAAUGGGGGAAACCCUGACGCAGCGACGCCGCGUGAGCGAAGAAGGCCUUAGGGUCGUAAAGCUCUGUUGUAAGGGGACGAAUGUUUAUCUGACGAACAGUCAGAUAAAGUGACGGUACCUUACCAGCAAGCCCCGGCUAA